This 367-nucleotide unclassified non-coding RNA is filed under the name Hevea brasiliensis (rubber tree). Lineage: Eukaryota; Viridiplantae; Streptophyta; Magnoliopsida; Malpighiales; Euphorbiaceae. The record is from RNAcentral.
GGGCGGGUUAGUUGGGGGUUUUCUUUCUUUCUGAAAAUAUAUAAAAGUAACAGGUAUAAGAUGUUAUUUGUACAUCUUGUUACAGAAAAAGAAGAGAACUUUUGUGUGUUUUUGUCAUGAUUAGUAUCUGUUUAUCCUUUCUACAAGAUGUACAGUUGUUGUGAACCGUAAAGCAAAUUGGCAGAUACUAUUCAUGAAUUGUAAAAUUUAGUGGGGAUGCUCAAAAAACAGAGCUUGUUUCGUGAAAGAUGUCUUAGGUCUGCCCCACAUGUAGCACAAAAGUGUAAUUUAUUAUUAGCCUUCAAAAUGCUUCAGAUUGAUGAACCAUUAUUUUUUUAAUGAUACUUUAUAUUCUUGAUCCAUCAAA